GAUGUUGGGUUAAGUCCCGCAACGAGCGCAACCCUUGUCCUUAGUUGCCAGCCUUAAGUUGGGCACUCUAAGGAGACUGCCGGUGACAAACCGGAGGAAGGUGGGGACGACGUCAAGUCAUCAUGGCCCUUACGAGUAGGGCUACACACGUGCUACAAUGGCGACUACAGAGGGCUGCAAUCCCGCGAGGGGGAGCCAAUCCCUAAAAGUCGUCUCAGUUCGGAUUGCACUCUGCAACUCGAGUGCAUGAAGUUGGAAUCGCUAGUAAUCGCUGGUCAGCUACACAGCGGUGAAUCCGUUCCCGGGCCUUGUACACACC
This 319-nucleotide ribosomal RNA is filed under the name uncultured eukaryote. Its description in RNAcentral is "partial Bacterial small subunit ribosomal RNA". It matches the Rfam family "Bacterial small subunit ribosomal RNA", at positions 1071 to 1391 of the family's 1533-position model. The record is from RNAcentral.